GCUGGGUGUGGUGGUGCACGCCUGUAGUCCUAUCUACUUGGGAGACUGAGGUGGGAGGAUCAUUUGAGCUCGGGAGGUUAAGGCUGCAGUGAACCAUGGUUGCACCACUGCACUCCAGCCUGGGCUAACAGAGUGAGAUCUUGUCUCUU
This is an unclassified non-coding RNA of Pongo abelii (Sumatran orangutan), 149 nucleotides long. It matches the Rfam family "Metazoan signal recognition particle RNA". From Rfam's summary of the family: The signal recognition particle (SRP) is a universally conserved ribonucleoprotein. It is involved in the co-translational targeting of proteins to membranes. Lineage: Eukaryota; Metazoa; Chordata; Mammalia; Primates; Hominidae. The record is from Ensembl.